GUGAGGAAUUUUCCGCAAUGGGCGAAAGCCUGACGGAGCAAUGCCGCGUGAAGGAUGAAGGCCUAUGGGUUGUAAACUUCUUUUCUCAGAAAAGAAUUAUGACGGUAUCUGAGGAAUAAGCAUCGGCUAACUCUGUGCCAGCAGCCGCGGUAAGACAGAGGAUGCAAGCGUUAUCCGGCAUGAUUGGGCGUAAAGCGUCUGUAGGUUGUUUAAAAAGUAUUCUGUCAAAGAUUAGGGCUUAACCCUAGAUAGGCAGAAUAAACUUUUAAGCUAGAGUUUGGUAGAGGCAGAGAGAAUUCCCGGUGGAGCGGUGAAAUGCGUAGAUAUCGGUAGGAACACCAAAGGCGAAGGCACUCUGCUGUGCCAAUACUAACACUGAGAGACGAAAGCGAGGGGAGCAAAUGGGAUUAGAAACCCCGGUAGUCC
This 426-nucleotide ribosomal RNA is filed under the name uncultured bacterium. Its description in RNAcentral is "partial 16S ribosomal RNA". It matches the Rfam family "Bacterial small subunit ribosomal RNA", at positions 354 to 796 of the family's 1533-position model. The record is from RNAcentral.